GUUGAUUUUGCUGUCUUCCACUGCCAUGAACUGUUGCCCCUCUGUCACUCUGUCUUGGAGCCAACAGAUUAUGGACGAAACCUCUACAAACUUCUCUGAUAUGACACCUGGAAUUUCAGCAGCCAUUAUGUGCCCAUUGUGGAGCCAUCUUGACGGAAGAACUGACACUGAAAAGUGAAGUGGUAGGAAAAACCCAACACCUUGAUGAUAUUGUUGAGGCCCUGGAUUAACUAUCUUAGGUCUCACUCCAUUUUGGAUUUUCUGUUGUAUGAAGUGAAAAAUGCCUUUAGUGUUGAAGUUACUUUGAUUCAGAUUUUCUGUUGUUUUGCAUCUCAAGUUAUCCUAACUGACAUAUACUUCAAUAUGAAUGUAUGUAGCCCAGGGAGUUUCUCCAAGUUCUCUUCUAUUCACAGAGGAAGCUUCUAUCUAAAACUUGAGAAAAUAGAGAGAUGCAGAGCUGAGGAGAGAGAUGAGAAAUACAUCCAAGUGACAAUAGCUCAGAUACAUGAGACAACACAUUUGCUUUCCUUUUGUCCAUUAAAGUUGGGGUGUUUGCCCCUUGUAACAAAAAGUGAUCUUACUGAUACAGAUGGAAUAGGAAUGGAGCCCCCAGCACAAGAAAGUCAUCUUAGAGCAAACAAGAGAUAUAAGUACUUUGGAUGCCAGUAUACUCAAAUUAAUUUGAACCCUGUGGCUGUUUCUAUACUGGCAAACAAAGCAGAAUGAAGCACUACACAAACCCCCUACCUUUCCCAAAUAUAACAAAAUAUUUUUGCCUCGAGUAUUAAUAAAAUUAAGGAAAGUAUGGGCACAAGUUUUGUCACUUGUCACAAUUUCAUACUCCAUUGAAUCAUUGUAGGUAUUACCUGUAUGUUCCAUAUAGAUACUUGAUUGUAUUAGAUCAUAUUGGAUCCAUAAAAGUAAAGAGUUAAAAGGAAACUUAUAUAAAUCUCUUUCAAAUUUCUCAUUUUACAAAGUAGGAAAUGGAAGCCUAAAGAGAGAAGUGAUCACCAAGGUCACAUAGUUAGAGUGGCAGAGACACGGCCAGAAGCUUCAUCUCCUGACCGUCCUAUCCCUGCUCAUCCUCCCUCACCUCCCCAGUAUGAUAUUGGGUCUCAGUUUCUGAAUGGUCCAUGCAGAGACUGAAGAUUUGUCCUGGUUUUCCUGCACUGCUAGAAGUCACUAUCAUAGUACUCAAAAAUCAUCCCAGGCAGUGGAACCCAGAAGGAAACAUAUUUUAAACUCUUCUUCCUGGAGAAACUGUGUCUCCAGGCAAGGGAGCCCCUGUGAUGGGCAGAACCACUGUCCUCAGCGGGGACAGAUGGACGGUCCGGAGUGGCUGGUCUGGCAGCCUGCUCUCCUUCAAGCUGAGUAAAGCCAGCUGGAUUUUGAAAGGGCAGAAUAACCAGAGUCAGCACAAUAGGAGAAUGGGCCCUCCCAGUGGCAGAAGCCAUAGAAUCUUUUGUGCCACCAAAAAGUCAAUCCAGAUUUAAGGCUGACACACAGGUGGGGUGGGUGGGCCUCUGUGAUUUGAUGGGCUCUCCGAGGCUCUGCCUGCCUAAAAAUAUUUCCACUGCCCACCUGCCUAGGACACCCUCCUUUCUUAUCAGGCCUGAAAUUCCUACCACUUGUGUCACUAUGGUUUUCGAUGACAAAGGAUGGGACAUGUUUCCCAGCAGGUCACCAUUAAAGCAGAUUUCCAGGGAGUAGAAGGGAGGCCCUGGAGUAUGCCCCUUUUAGCACAAAGAGCUAAUACUGUCAGAAGCCCAGGGAAGACAGGAGUGGCCUGCUUUACAAUUUUUCCUCCUGUUGAGACACCAGUCACUCAAUUCAUUCAUGCCCCUAUGACCAGGACCUUGAAGAAAUUAGGCAGCAGCCUUCAAAGAAAAUAAAAUAGUGGCCCUGUAAGUAAAGGAGCAGAUUCUGCCUCUCUUCUGCAGUCCAAUCUAGGUUUGGCUUCUUCCCUCUGUGGGAAUCUGGGUCUGAGUUGGAGAGCUUUUCCUCAUGCAUGGGGUAGCAAGAUAUCAGAAUGCUCCCAGAUUUCAGUGGGCCACAUCUAAGUGUCAUUGUUUCUCCCCAAAUUCUUCCCCACUUCCUCAUACCCAUUGGGCAAUUCCAGAAGGAAAUUUAAAAACCAGAUGUGUUAGGACCUGGCAUGCUAUUGAGAAGUAGAGAAAUGAAAUACUGGGAGGUAUGGGAGGGCAUAGGGGGCAUUCACAACCCUGUUGAUUGGUUUUGUCCACCCCAUUCCAACAGGUGGGAGCCUGGGCCGAGGUCUGUCAGAGGCUGGAGCAAGGGAGAGAUAUUGACAGGGUGGGUCACAGGGGAACAGUCACUAACAGGAAGGGCCUGCCAAGCAGCAGAGUAAUUAAUGAUCUUGGGCUUGGAGAGCAGACAAUGGCCAGAGGAGGGGAGGAUAGUGUCGAUGGGGUGGGGAUUGUGCUGAGAAUUUAUAAGCUCUGGUGUGAAGGGGAAGCUGACUGAAUAUUUAAGAAUAUAGUUGGCAUAGGACUGACUUAUCAGGUAGAAUCAAGGUGGUACCUUGAUUUGGGUCAGGUCAUUCUUUCAUUUAUUAACAAGGUACACAUGGAUAAGACUGAAGAACUCAGUUGAAGGGACUGAUUAAUGUCAGAUUGUUUUGUGAUUAUCUUAUCUGAGGCAGACAUACCUUGGAGGGGGUGGCUUGCCCUUGAAGCAAAUAGAUAGUCUCACUGUCAGUUACCUUGACAAGAAUUUAAUUUGAUGAUGGCCAUAAGGAGAGAAAGAGGACAAGUUUCCCCAAAGUAGGGCAUCUCUCCAGCUUGGGUCCCUAGGCCAAGAUAACCCUGGGAUAUUUCCAGUGUGAGUGCACAUUAGGGCAACAGAAGGGCUAUCUUUUGUCACAUGUGGGCAUCUAGGAGCCGGACACAAAACAGAUCCUGAGGAUGGAUCCUGAUUAUGAAGAAGAGAGUUUGUCAAUGCUCAGUUUUCAUAAAUAUCUUUCAUUUACCUCAGACUGAGAGAAAAUUCUCCUUAAAAUCUCAGCCAAGUCUCAGUGACAGUGUAACGGCUGAGGUGAAAGACUGACACCUACUCAGGACCAAGCAGCAGAGCAGUGAGCAGCACCCACUCUUUGAGGCCAGGGAAGUAGAAUCAGUGGCAAUGAGAGGGCAGCCAUACCCAGGAGGACUGUCAAGAAGGUCAUGGACGAGGCAGUGUCUGAGAGACAAGGUGAUGAGGAAUACCCUUGUGAACUUGUUCCCAGACAUGUGUGAAGCAGCACUCUGAGAAGCCCUGUAAAAUGGUUUGAGGCUCUCAGAGAUCAAGAGUCUCAGCUCAGGUCACUGCGACUUGAUGUGUUUUCUCUUAUAUGUCCAAUGUGCCCCAAAGGGCCUGGGAUUGUGUUGGGCUUAGGGACCGAGAUGGGUUACACAUGAUCCUUCCUCCAGGGACCUUUUCUUCUAAGUAAUUGCCCGGUCCUUGCAGGCAUCUGGAACCAGAGUCCCCUGUGUCCUGGAUGUGGAGGUUCUGCUUGCUUUCCUGUGCAUCAUUUGUGUUACCAAGUCCACAGCUCAGCCUUAGGAACCAGAGGUUUAUAAGGUUCAAGAGUUUCUGGCUCACCCCUUGGGUUUCACGAACUUAGAGACACUUAGUGGUAGGAUCUGGUAGGUCAGAGGGUUCCAGACCUCUCUCUUGGCAAAAAGGGACACGUUCUGCAAACUGAUACAGGAGCAUCACACUUGUUCAGAGGUUGACAAAAGGAGGCAGCUCAGACAUCAGGAUUCAAGCCCUAAUUCUAGCUCUGGAAUCCGGGGCGUAUUACUGAACUUCUCAAGGCCUCCAUGUUCUUUUCUAUAAAAUGGGGACAAUAGUGACAUCUACUCACAGGGAGUCUGUUGAAGAUUAAAU
Molecule: long non-coding RNA, 3888 nt
Filed under: Heterocephalus glaber (naked mole-rat)
Lineage: Eukaryota; Metazoa; Chordata; Mammalia; Rodentia; Bathyergidae
Description: lncRNA (ENSHGLG00100035605.1)
Source: RNAcentral